CAGUCGAGCGAGUCUGCCUUGAAGAUCGGAGUGCUUGCACUCUGUGAAACAAGAUACAGGCUAGCGGCGGACGGGUGAGUAACACGUGGGUAACCUGCCCAAGAGAUCGGGAUAACACCUGGAAACAGAUGCUAAUACCGGAUAACAACAGAUGAUGCCUAUCAACUGUUUAAAAGAUGGUUCUGCUAUCACUCUUGGAUGGACCUGCGGUGCAUUAGCUAGUUGGUAGGGUAACGGCCUACCAAGGCGAUGAUGCAUAGCCGAGUUGAGAGACUGAUCGGCCACAUUGGGACUGAGACACGGCCCAAACUCCUACGGGAGGCAGCAGUAGGGAAUCUUCCACAAUGGACGCAAGUCUGAUGGAGCAACGCCGCGUGAGUGAAGAAGGGUUUCGGCUCGUAAAGCUCUGUUGUUGGUGAAGAAGGACAGGGGUAGUAACUGACCUUUGUUUGACGGUAAUCAAUUAGAAAGUCACGGCUAACUACGUGCCAGCAGCCGCGGUAAUACGUAGGUGGCAAGCGUUGUCCGGAUUUAUUGGGCGUAAAGCGAGUGCAGGCGGCUCGAUAAGUCUGAUGUGAAAGCCUUCGGCUCAACCGGAGAAUUGCAUCAGAAACUGUCGAGCUUGAGUACAGAAGAGGAGAGUGGAACUCCAUGUGUAGCGGUGAAAUGCGUAGAUAUAUGGAAGAACACCGGUGGCGAAGGCGGCUCUCUGGUCUGUUACUGACGCUGAGGCUCGAAAGNNNGGGUAGCGAACAGGAUUAGAUACCCUGGUAGUCCAUGCC
RNAcentral lists this ribosomal RNA (782 nucleotides) under uncultured bacterium. RNAcentral's name for it is "bacterial SSU rRNA". It matches the Rfam family "Bacterial small subunit ribosomal RNA", at positions 59 to 801 of the family's 1533-position model. The record is from RNAcentral.